RNAcentral lists this transfer RNA (83 nucleotides) under Thecamonas trahens. RNAcentral describes it as "tRNA-Tyr". It matches the Rfam family "tRNA". Rfam says of the family: Transfer RNA (tRNA) molecules are approximately 80 nucleotides in length. Their secondary structure includes four short double-helical elements and three loops (D, anti-codon, and T loops). Further hydrogen bonds mediate the characteristic L-shaped molecular structure. tRNAs have two regions of fundamental functional importance: the anti-codon, which is responsible for specific mRNA codon recognition, and the 3' end, to which the tRNAs corresponding amino acid is attached (by aminoacyl-tRNA synthetases). tRNAs cope with the degeneracy of the genetic code in two manners: having more than one tRNA (with a specific anti-codon) for a particular amino acid; and 'wobble' base-pairing, i.e. permitting non-standard base-pairing at the 3rd anti-codon position. RNAcentral also lists the same sequence under 1 other name. The record is from RNAcentral. Lineage: Eukaryota; Apusomonadida; Apusomonadidae.
GGAGAGAUGGCUGAGCGGUCGAAGGCGGCAGGCUGUAAACCUGUUUUUUAAUUAACACGUAGGUUCGAAUCCUACUCUCUUCA